GAUGAACGCUGGCGGCGUGCCUAAUACAUGCAAGUCGAGCGAACGGACGAGAAGCUUGCUUCUCUGAUGUUAGCGGCGGACGGGUGAGUAACACGUGGAUAACCUACCUAUAAGACUGGGAUAACUUCGGGAAACCGGAGCUAAUACCGGAUAAUAUUUUGAACCGCAUGGUUCAAAAGUAAAAGACGGUCUUGCUGUCACUUAUAGAUGGAUCCGCGCUGCAUUAGCUAGUUGGUAAGGUAACGGCUUACCAAGGCAACGAUGCAUAGCCGACCUGAGAGGGUGAUCGGCCACCCUGGAACUGAGACACGGUCCAGACUCCUACGGGAGGCCGCAGUAGGGAAUCUUCCGCAAUGGGCGAAAGCCUGACGGAGCAACGCCGCGUGAGUGAUGAAGGUCUUCGGAUCGUAAAACUCUGUUAUUAGGGAAGAACAUAUGUGUAAGUAACUGUGCACAUCUUGACGGUACCUAAUCAGAAAGCCACGGCUAACUACGUG
Molecule: ribosomal RNA, 497 nt
Filed under: uncultured bacterium
Lineage: Bacteria
Description: partial 16S ribosomal RNA
Rfam family: Bacterial small subunit ribosomal RNA
Source: RNAcentral